Molecule: ribosomal RNA, 375 nt
Filed under: uncultured organism
Description: bacterial SSU rRNA
Rfam family: Bacterial small subunit ribosomal RNA
Source: RNAcentral
CAGAGGGGGCAAGCGUUGUUCGGAAUUACUGGGCGUAAAGGGCGCGUAGGCGGCCUUCUAAGUCGAACGUGAAAUCCCCGGGCUCAACCCGGGAACUGCGUCCGAGACUGGAAGGCUUGAAUCCGGGAGAGGGAUGUGGAAUUCCAGGUGUAGCGGUGAAAUGCGUAGAUAUCUGGAGGAACAUCGGUGGCGAAGGCGGCAUCCUGGACCGGUAUUGACGCUGAGGCGCGAAAGCCAGGGGAGCAAACGGGAUUAGAUACCCCGGUAGUCCUGGCCCUAAACGAUGAAUGCUUGGUGUGGCGGGUAUCGAUCCCUGCCGUGCCGAAGCUAACGCAUUAAGCAUUCCGCCUGGGGAAAAGUACGGUCGCAAGGCUG